GGUGGGAUAGCGAAGCGGUCAAACGCAGCAGACUGUAAAUCUGCCCUCUUAGAGUUCGAUGGUUCGAAUCCAUCUCCCACCACCA
This 85-nucleotide transfer RNA is filed under the name Kiritimatiellales bacterium. RNAcentral's name for it is "tRNA-Tyr". It matches the Rfam family "tRNA". Rfam says of the family: Transfer RNA (tRNA) molecules are approximately 80 nucleotides in length. Their secondary structure includes four short double-helical elements and three loops (D, anti-codon, and T loops). Further hydrogen bonds mediate the characteristic L-shaped molecular structure. tRNAs have two regions of fundamental functional importance: the anti-codon, which is responsible for specific mRNA codon recognition, and the 3' end, to which the tRNAs corresponding amino acid is attached (by aminoacyl-tRNA synthetases). tRNAs cope with the degeneracy of the genetic code in two manners: having more than one tRNA (with a specific anti-codon) for a particular amino acid; and 'wobble' base-pairing, i.e. permitting non-standard base-pairing at the 3rd anti-codon position. Lineage: Bacteria; Pseudomonadati; Kiritimatiellota; Kiritimatiellia; Kiritimatiellales. The record is from RNAcentral. RNAcentral also lists the same sequence under 3 other names.